Molecule: long non-coding RNA, 230 nt
Filed under: Vulpes vulpes (red fox)
Lineage: Eukaryota; Metazoa; Chordata; Mammalia; Carnivora; Canidae
Description: lncRNA (ENSVVUG00000020686.1)
Source: RNAcentral
AAGCACUCUUCUAUGGCUUAACCUUCAGACAACCCUACAGGUUUGAGAACCAUUUUACAGAUAAGGAAAACCGUGACUUUCGGGCACAUGAAGUAAGAAUACAUGGGAAUUUAAAUCAGGGUUCUGGGAAGUCUUUGACAAUAUCAUGCAAUCUGAGUGAGACCAAGGUUUAAGAUGUUCAGAUAGGUGCUCAGGUCAUUAGUCAUCACAAGUAGGAAAAAGCCAUAAGG